Molecule: transfer RNA, 73 nt
Filed under: Helianthus annuus (common sunflower)
Lineage: Eukaryota; Viridiplantae; Streptophyta; Magnoliopsida; Asterales; Asteraceae
Description: tRNA HanXRQr2_Chr01g0012451
Source: RNAcentral
ACGAGGACAGCCCAGUUGGUUAAGGCGCGCGUUUGUGAACUGGUGGUCGCAGGUUCGAAUCCGGUUCCAAGCA